This 378-nucleotide ribosomal RNA is filed under the name uncultured Anaplasma sp. Its description in RNAcentral is "bacterial SSU rRNA". It matches the Rfam family "Bacterial small subunit ribosomal RNA", at positions 90 to 503 of the family's 1533-position model. Lineage: Bacteria; Pseudomonadati; Pseudomonadota; Alphaproteobacteria; Rickettsiales; Anaplasmataceae. The record is from RNAcentral.
GGUUAGUGGCAGACGGGUGAGUAAUGCAUAGGAAUCUGCCCAGUAGUAUGGGAUAGCCACUAGAAAUGGUGGGUAAUACUGUAUAAUCCCUGCGGGGGAAAGAUUUAUCGCUACUAGAUGAGCCUAUGUUAGAUUAGCUAGUUGGUGGGGUAAUGGCCUACCAAGGCUGUGAUCUGUAGCUGGUCUGAGAGGAUGAUCAGCCACACUGGAACUGAGACACGGUCCAGACUCCUACGGGAGGCAGCGGUGGGGAAUAUUGGACAAUGGGCGCAAGCCUGAUCCAGCUAUGCCGCGUGAGUAAGGAAGGCCUUAGGGUUGUAAAACUCUUUCAGUGGGGAAGAUAAUGACGGUCCCAACAGAAAAAGUCCCGGCAAACUC